RNAcentral lists this ribosomal RNA (1631 nucleotides) under Salmonella enterica. RNAcentral describes it as "partial 23S ribosomal RNA". It matches the Rfam family "Bacterial large subunit ribosomal RNA", at positions 1067 to 2680 of the family's 2925-position model. Lineage: Bacteria; Pseudomonadati; Pseudomonadota; Gammaproteobacteria; Enterobacterales; Enterobacteriaceae. The record is from RNAcentral.
GAAACGAUGUGGGAAGGCCCAGACAGCCAGGAUGUUGGCUUAGAAGCAGCCAUCAUUUAAAGAAAGCGUAAUAGCUCACUGGUCGAGUCGGCCUGCGCGGAAGAUGUAACGGGGCUAAACCAUGCACCGAAGCUGCGGCAGCGACACUCAGGUGUUGUUGGGUAGGGGAGCGUUCUGUAAGCCUGCGAAGGUGGCCUGUGAGGGUUGCUGGAGGUAUCAGAAGUGCGAAUGCUGACAUAAGUAACGAUAAAGCGGGUGAAAAGCCCGCUCGCCGGAAGACCAAGGGUUCCUGUCCAACGUUAAUCGGGGCAGGGUGAGUCGACCCCUAAGGCGAGGCCGAAAGGCGUAGUCGAUGGGAAACGGGUUAAUAUUCCCGUACUUGGUGUUACUGCGAAGGGGGGACGGAGAAGGCUAUGUUGGCCGGGCGACGGUUGUCCCGGUUUAAGCGUGUAGGUGUGUGUUCCAGGUAAAUCCGGUUCACUUUAACACUGAGGCGUGAUGACGAGGCACUACGGUGCUGAAGCAACAAAUGCCCUGCUUCCAGGAAAAGCCUCUAAGCAUCAGGUAACAUCAAAUCGUACCCCAAACCGACACAGGUGGUCAGGUAGAGAAUACCAAGGCGCUUGAGAGAACUCGGGUGAAGGAACUAGGCAAAAUGGUGCCGUAACUUCGGGAGAAGGCACGCUGACACGUAGGUGAAGUGAUUUACUCAUGGAGCUGAAGUCAGUCGAAGAUACCAGCUGGCUGCAACUGUUUAUUAAAAACACAGCACUGUGCAAACACGAAAGUGGACGUAUACGGUGUGACGCCUGCCCGGUGCCGGAAGGUUAAUUGAUGGGGUCAGCGCAAGCGAAGCUCCUGAUCGAAGCCCCGGUAAACGGCGGCCGUAACUAUAACGGUCCUAAGGUAGCGAAAUUCCUUGUCGGGUAAGUUCCGACCUGCACGAAUGGCGUAAUGAUGGCCAGGCUGUCUCCACCCGAGACUCAGUGAAAUUGAACUCGCUGUGAAGAUGCAGUGUACCCGCGGCAAGACGGAAAGACCCCGUGAACCUUUACUAUAGCUUGACACUGAACAUUGAGCCUUGAUGUGUAGGAUAGGUGGGAGGCUUUGAAGUGUGGACGCCAGUCUGCAUGGAGCCGGCCUUGAAAUACCACCCUUUAAUGUUUGAUGUUCUAACGUGGACCCGUGAUCCGGGUUGCGGACAGUGUCUGGUGGGUAGUUUGACUGGGGCGGUCUCCUCCUAAAGAGUAACGGAGGAGCACGAAGGUUGGCUAAUCCUGGUCGGACAUCAGGAGGUUAGUGCAAUGGCAUAAGCCAGCUUGACUGCGAGCGUGACGGCGCGAGCAGGUGCGAAAGCAGGUCAUAGUGAUCCGGUGGUUCUGAAUGGAAGGGCCAUCGCUCAACGGAUAAAAGGUACUCCGGGGAUAACAGGCUGAUACCGCCCAAGAGUUCAUAUCGACGGCGGUGUUUGGCACCUCGAUGUCGGCUCAUCACAUCCUGGGGCUGAAGUAGGUCCCAAGGGUAUGGCUGUUCGCCAUUUAAAGUGGUACGCGAGCUGGGUUUAGAACGUCGUGAGACAGUUCGGUCCCUAUCUGCCGUGGGCGCUGGAGAACUGAGGGGGGCUGCUCCUA